Equus asinus (donkey) is the source of this 1565-nucleotide long non-coding RNA. The record is from Ensembl. NCBI's taxonomy places the organism in Eukaryota, Metazoa, Chordata, Mammalia, Perissodactyla, Equidae.
GCCCAAUCACGUGAAGAGCGCCCUGGCAACCCCACGUGCUGCGGAUUAGUGCACUUCCGGCGUGAAGAGCACUUUCUGGAGUCUCGGUUGCUGAGGGUAAACUCGCCGGCAAGGAAACGCUCUUUCAAAGUGUUGGGUUUGUUGGCUUCGGGAUCUAGCUGCAGUGAAUGUUAGCCAGGUCACUCGCUUGGUGUCCCCUGCCCUCAGGUGCGUGGCAGUUGUCACGUGACGGUCGUCGGAACUCAAGAGGCGAGCAAAUUCAACGGUGUCCCGCGUGGCUGCGCAGGAAACUUUGGGUUCGAACUCCUGGCCCAGCUUGCAGAUCUUCCUCGGUGGUCAGGCCCACGCUUGUUCCUCGAGGAAGAGUUCAAGCACAGUAUUCAAUUACCCGGCUCUGCACUGCGGCCUCCGUGGUCCCUAGUCACUCGUGAUGAGAUUCUGGUGGCGACUGCCGCUGGGUGCCCCGCCAGGGUCGGCAGCAUUCUCAGGUGCGAGCACUCCUGAGACAUUGCGAAUAAACAGCAGCAGUGAAGUGACCAGAGGCUGUGAUGGAGUGGUUGAGGCCAAUGGGUGUCUGACUCCUACAGCAUUGUCCAGUCCAGAAAGGUGGCUUGCCGAACUCAUCUCUUCUUUCCUCCUGGCGUUGGCUUUCCUUCCGGUCUGAGGAAGAAAACUGGAAAAUUCACAGAUAUGUGGAGAUUAAACAACAUGCUAUUGAACAACCAGUGGGUCAAGAAGAAAUCAAAAGAGAAAUAAAAAAAAUACCUUGAGACAAAUGAAAAUGGAAACAACAUACUCAAACUCAUGGAAUGCCACAAAAGUAAUUCUAAGAGGGAAAUUUACACCAAUAAAUGCCUAAAUUAAGAAAAAAGAAAGAUCUCAAAUAAGCAACCUAACUUUACAUCCCACGGAACUAGAAAACUAAGAACAAACUAAGCCUAAAGUUAAUAGAAGAAAGGAAAUAACAACGAUCAGAGUGAAAACCAAUGAAAUAGAGACUAGAAAGGCAAUAGAAACGAUCAGUAAAACUAAGAGCUGGUUUUGAAAAAAGCUAAACAAAAUAGGCAAACCUUUAGCUAGACCUAUGAGGAAAAAAGAGAGAGGACUCAAGUAAAAUUAUAAAUGAAAGAAAAGACGUUACAACUGAUAUCACAUAAAUACAAAGGAUCAGAAAAGACCACUGUGAACAAUUAUAUCUCAAUUGGACAACUGAGAGGAAAUGAAUACAUUCCUAGAAACAUACAACCUACCAAGACUGAAUCACGAAAAACAGAAAAUCUGAACAGGACAAUUACUAGUAAGGAGACUGAAUCAGUAAUCAAAAUCUCGCAGCAAAGGAAAGUCAAGGACCUGAUGGCUUCACUGGUGAAUUCUACCACACAUUUAAGGAAGACUUAAUACCUGUCCUCCUCAAACCUUUCAAAAAAAUUGAAGAGGAAGGAUCGCUUCUAAACUAAUAUUCUGAGGCCAUGAUUACCCUGAUACCAAAACCAGACAAGGACACUACAAGAAAAGAAAAUUACAGGUCAACAUCCCUGAUGAGCAUAGAUCCAAAAAUCCUAAAA